AGACUGAUGAUCAGAAGGAGCCGAGUUGGUUCUUUCUCCCCAGUAGACUGGGUACGAGUAGCCAGCUAGAGACACUUAACGAAAAUUAGCAAAUCCAAAAGCACCAGGCGCCAGUGAGACGACACAGACCGAGACUGACACUCAAUUAUCCCCCCAAACAAUCGCAGGCAAACACACAGGCAGAACCUGAUCGAUAUCAGUCCCGCAGUGAUCUCCUUACUGAGAUGCUAAUUCACUUAUUAGGGCUUGCUCAGAAGCCAGCUAGCUAACACACCCAAGUCAGGUUAGCUCUUUGGGGAUUUGGUUCGAAACUCUCUCCAGUGAACUCCCUACAGAACUGUAACAAACUACAUUGAAAACCACGGGAAAACUUGCCUUUUAAGACCAUCCUAUGCAAACAUCUCCAGCCAAAGCAGGAUACCUGGUAUUAUCUCAGCUGAUUCUCACAGUAAACCCAUAAGAGAGCUGGCUGUUAUAACAUUUACCAACAUACCCCUGCCCAAAGCCUUGCAAAGAAAAGAAAAAGACAAGCCAUGAUGAAAAACAGGGUGGUU
This 554-nucleotide long non-coding RNA is filed under the name Monodelphis domestica (gray short-tailed opossum). Its description in RNAcentral is "lncRNA (ENSMODG00000034295.2)". Lineage: Eukaryota; Metazoa; Chordata; Mammalia; Didelphimorphia; Didelphidae. The record is from RNAcentral.